This 500-nucleotide ribosomal RNA is filed under the name uncultured bacterium. Its description in RNAcentral is "partial 16S ribosomal RNA". It matches the Rfam family "Bacterial small subunit ribosomal RNA", at positions 30 to 523 of the family's 1533-position model. The record is from RNAcentral.
AUUGAACGCUGGCGGCAUGCCUUACACAUGCAAGUCGAACGGCAGCACGGGAGCAAUCCUGGUGGCGAGUGGCGAACGGGUGAGUAAAGUAUCGGAACGUGCCCAGUCGUGGGGGAUAACGUAGCGAAAGUUACGCUAAUACCGCAUACGAUCUAUGGAUGAAAGCGGGGGAUCGCAAGACCUUGCGCGAUUGGAGCGGCCGAUAUCAGAUUAGGUAGUUGGUGGGGUAAAGGCUCACCAAGCCGACAAUCUGUAGCUGGUCUGAGAGGACGACCAGCCACACUGGGACUGAGACACGGCCCAGACUCCUACGGGAGGCAGCAGUGGGGAAUUUUGGACAAUGGGCGAAAGCCUGAUCCAGCCAUGCCGCGUGCAGGAUGAAGGCCUUCGGGUUGUAAACUGCUUUUGUACGGAACGAAAAGGUUUGGGCUAAUAAGCUGAGCUCAUGACGGUACCGUAAGAAUAAGCACCGGCUAACUACGUGCCAGCCGCCGCAGUAA